This 731-nucleotide long non-coding RNA is filed under the name Rattus norvegicus (Norway rat). Its description in RNAcentral is "long non-coding RNA NONRATT022901". The record is from RNAcentral. Lineage: Eukaryota; Metazoa; Chordata; Mammalia; Rodentia; Muridae.
UAACAGGUUGACCUAUGGAUACUUGGCAGGUCUGUGAUGUUCCAACAGAAGCCACUCUGGGUCCUCUGAAAGUGGGAAGUGGUAGCUUGCCAAGCCUCUCAGAACAAUUUUGUCAGCCCCAAGGGCUCACCUCAGACAUGCAUCCAGGGCUCUCACCACCAGGAUACUGUCUGCAUCCACCAAGGAGACCACAGAGAGAGUCACCCUGCCCUGGAAGGAAACAGAGAGCCUCAACAAUGAGGGCUCCCUGGAGUCUGCCACAGCUCCCGAGGGUCUCCAGGACUUCCAGAUGAGACAUCUUCGACCUUAGAGUCUCCAUGGUGUGACUCAACACAAAAAGCCCCCCAGCCACCUCCUACAGACAAACAAAAGACACAGACAGACAGAAGAUGCUUUGGAGGGGCGUGCAGGCUGUGAGAUAGGGGUCAGACGAAACUAGCAGGUCUAAGUUUGCAAAGGCAAGAACCCCACAUCAUAAUGAGUUAGGGGUGGGAGUGGGACUGGGUCUCCUCCGGGAUGACAAAGGCUUCGAAACUAACGGGAGAUGCUCACCACAAGAUGGUGGAUUAUAUCAGUCAACCUCAGUGUCACGCAUGCUGAUCCGCUGCUCCAGCCGUUACACAAGGCUCCUUCUAGAGAGGUGAUUGAGGUCAUGUCAUUUCUCACUUCCAUUCAAAGUGAAACAAACAAACAAAGAGUUAGAGCCCUAAGCCCAGUUAGUGGAGCCCACC